RNAcentral lists this ribosomal RNA (321 nucleotides) under uncultured bacterium. RNAcentral describes it as "bacterial SSU rRNA". It matches the Rfam family "Bacterial small subunit ribosomal RNA", at positions 28 to 334 of the family's 1533-position model. The record is from RNAcentral.
GAUGAACGCUGGCGGCGUGCCUAACACAUGCAAGUCGAGCGAAGCGAUCUGAUGGAAGUUUUCGGAUGGAAGUCAGAUUGACUGAGCGGGCGUGGGCAAGGACGGUCGGUAACUAGGCUCAUACAGGGAUAACAGUUAGAAAUGGCUGCUAAUACCGCAUAAGCACACAGGACCGCAUUGGUCCGGUGUGAAAAACUCCGGUGGUAUGAGAUGGACCCGCGUCUGAUUAGCUAGUUGGAAGGUAACGGCUUACCAAGGCGACGAUCAGUAGCCGACCUGAGAGGGUGACCGGCCACAUUGGGACUGGAAGACACGGCCCAA